This is a small nucleolar RNA of Tupaia belangeri (northern tree shrew), 124 nucleotides long. Its record names the gene U8. It matches the Rfam family "U8 small nucleolar RNA". Rfam says of the family: U8 is a member of the C/D class of snoRNA which contain the C (UGAUGA) and D (CUGA) box motifs. Lineage: Eukaryota; Metazoa; Chordata; Mammalia; Scandentia; Tupaiidae. The record is from Ensembl.
AUGUCAGGUAGGAUAAUUACCAUUCAGAGAGUUGAUUAAAACAUGCUGAUUGGAGUUGGCAUGAUGUGUGGUCAAUGUCUCUCUGUAAUCAGGACUUGCAGCACUCUGGUUUCUAGGGAGUGGC